RNAcentral lists this ribosomal RNA (253 nucleotides) under uncultured bacterium. RNAcentral's name for it is "partial 16S ribosomal RNA". It matches the Rfam family "Bacterial small subunit ribosomal RNA", at positions 524 to 776 of the family's 1533-position model. The record is from RNAcentral.
UACGUAGGGGGCUAGCGUUGUCCGGAUUUAUUGGGCGUAAAGAGCGUGUAGGCGGCCAUGUAGGUCCGGUGUGAAAACUCGAGGCUUAACCUCGAGGUGUCAUCGGAAACCAUUUGGCUAGAGUCCGGAAGAGGAGAGUGGAAUUCCUGGUGUAGCGGUGAAAUGCGCAGAUAUCAGGAAGAACACCAAUGGCGAAAGCAGCUCUCUGGGACGGUACUGACGCUGAGACGCGAAAGCGUGGGGAGCGAACAGG